RNAcentral lists this ribosomal RNA (605 nucleotides) under Bifidobacterium breve. RNAcentral describes it as "partial 23S ribosomal RNA". It matches the Rfam family "Bacterial large subunit ribosomal RNA", at positions 1 to 582 of the family's 2925-position model. Lineage: Bacteria; Bacillati; Actinomycetota; Actinomycetes; Bifidobacteriales; Bifidobacteriaceae. The record is from RNAcentral.
CGUGUUGCCUGCAAGGGCGUAUGGUGGAUGCCUUGGCAGACAGGACCGAUGAAGGACGUUUGAGGCUGCGAUAUGCCUCGGGGAGCCGCCAACAGGGCUUUGAUCCGAGGAUUUCCGAAUGGGGGAACCCACCGGCCGUCAUGGGCCGGUACCGCCGUGUGCGGGGGGUACGCAGGGAAGUGAAACAUCUCAGUACCUGCAGGAAAGGAUAUUCCGUGAGUAGUGGCGAGCGAAAGCGGAUCAGGCCAAACCUUGCGCGUGUGAUACCCGUCGGGGGUUGCGCGCGGGGUGUAGAGGGAUCGCGUUUGCCGGCUCCGACGGGCCGGCCGUCAGUUGCAUAAAACCAUGUGCCAGGGGAACCGGGUUGAAUACCGGGCCGCAGAGGGUGAGGGCCCCGUACCCGAACGCGCAUGGUCUGGCGAUCGCGUCUCCCAAGUAGCACGGGCCCCGUGGAAUCCCGUGCGAAUCUGUCCCGACCGUGGGAUAAGCCUAAAUAUUCCUGUCUGACCGAUAGCGAACGAGUACCGUGAGGGAAAGGUGAAAAGUACCCCGGGAGGGGAGUGAAACAGUCUCUGAAACCAUGCGCCUACGAACCGUCGGGGCCC